GGGCCAGGUCUCUUGAAAGAAUAAAGAUUUAAACUAUCCCCCACUGACCCUGCUGUGAGGACAAGUGCACCUCACAGCAAAGAAUAACAUAACAUAUUUUGGGAAUGUAGCCUGGCUAUAGCCACCACAAACCAUCUGGCCUCGAUAAGGCCUGACUCAACAGUCCUGAGAAAAACGAGAAUUAGGGUCAGCUUGCCCCAGAAGGAGGGUGGCCUAGAGUUGAACUGAGCCCAAGUUACAAACCAAUGAAAUUGCUUUGUGUGACUGUUGCCAACUACCUAUGUAAUUUUCCCUAUAAAUCCCUUCCCCUAAUUGGGCUCGGGGUCGACUCCUCUGUCUCUUGUGUGAGAUACGUGUCGUCCCCAGAGCUCUGGUUCCUCAAAUACACCUCUUGUUUGUUACAUCAAGACUGGUUUCUCGUGAGUUCUUGGGGGUUGCGUUGU
Molecule: long non-coding RNA, 443 nt
Filed under: Rattus norvegicus (Norway rat)
Lineage: Eukaryota; Metazoa; Chordata; Mammalia; Rodentia; Muridae
Description: long non-coding RNA NONRATT017145
Source: RNAcentral